Long non-coding RNA from Rhineura floridana, 329 nucleotides. RefSeq lists it as uncharacterized. Lineage: Eukaryota; Metazoa; Chordata; Lepidosauria; Squamata; Rhineuridae. The transcript is spliced from 3 exons. The record is from RefSeq and is a predicted model, not a curated record.
UACAUGUUAUUCAUGAGUUUAUUUUAUUAUACUUUCAAUUUGACCAGUGGUUGCUUAGAGAGUGCCAUGGGAUUCUAUCUACAUGAAACUAUAGGAUGAAGUCAUCUGAAGUUUGGGGUGUGAUAUCAUCAGUAACCUGAUGAGACCCUGCUCUAUUUCUUUUUCUCAGUGGUAGAGAAAACCCUAAAGCCUAGGAGCUAUGAGAUACUUGCUGCAGAAAAAACAAAUUCAAUGUGUUCUGAGAUAAAUGCUGAAGGAAAAGGAGGGGAGAGCACGAGCGCGCGUGCACACACACACCUCAAAAGAAGCAAAGCUGCAAAAUGGUCCUG